GUGAGGAAUAUUGCGCAAUGGAGGCAACUCUGACGCAGCCAUGCCGCGUGCAGGAAGAAGGCGCUACGCGUUGUAAACUGCUUUUAACCGGGAAGAAACCCCAGGACGUGUCCUGGGUUGACGGUACCGGAGGAAUAAGCACCGGCUAACUUCGUGCCAGCAGCCGCGGUAAUACGAAGGGUGCAAGCGUUAUCCGGAUUCAUUGGGUUUAAAGGUUGCGUAGGCGGAGCGUUAAGUCAGUGGUGAAAUCCUGCAGCUUAACUGUAGACUUGCCAUUGAUACUGGCGCUCUUGAGUGCGCUUGAAGUGGGCGGAAUGUGCCGUGUAGCGGUGAAAUGCUUAGAUAUGGCACAGAACACCAAUUGCGAAGGCAGCUCACUAAGGCGAUACUGACGCUGAGGCACGAAAGCGUGGGGAUCGAACAGGAUUAGAUACCCCUGUAGUCC
RNAcentral lists this ribosomal RNA (445 nucleotides) under uncultured bacterium. RNAcentral describes it as "bacterial SSU rRNA". It matches the Rfam family "Bacterial small subunit ribosomal RNA", at positions 354 to 796 of the family's 1533-position model. The record is from RNAcentral.